UACGUAGGGCGCAAGCGUUGUCCGGAAUUAUUGGGCGUAAAGAGCUCGUAGGCGGUUUGUCGCGUCUGCUGUGAAAACCUAAGGCUCAACCUUGGGCUUGCAGUGGGUACGGGCAGACUAGAGUGCGGUAGGGGUGACUGGAAUUCCUGGUGUAGCGGUGGAAUGCGCAGAUAUCAGGAGGAACACCAAUGGCGAAGGCAGCUCGCUGGGACGGUACUGACGCUGAGGCGCGAAAGCGUGGGGAGCAAACAGG
RNAcentral lists this ribosomal RNA (253 nucleotides) under uncultured bacterium. RNAcentral's name for it is "partial 16S ribosomal RNA". It matches the Rfam family "Bacterial small subunit ribosomal RNA", at positions 524 to 776 of the family's 1533-position model. The record is from RNAcentral.